Molecule: long non-coding RNA, 810 nt
Organism: Passer domesticus (house sparrow)
Lineage: Eukaryota; Metazoa; Chordata; Aves; Passeriformes; Passeridae
Exons: 2
Source: RefSeq, a predicted model, not a curated record
GAAGUGGCGGAAGGAAGUGGCGGAAGGAAGUGGCGGAAGGAAGUGGCGGAAGGAAGUGGCGGAAGGAAGUGGCGGAAGGAAGUGGCGGAAGUGGCGGAAGUGGCGGAAGUGGCGGAAGUGGCGGAAGUGGCGGAAGUGGCGGAAGUGGCGGAAGGAAGGAAGGAAGGAAGGAAGGAAGGAAGGAAGGAAGGAAGGAAGGAAGGAAGGAAGGAAGGAAGGAAGGAAGGAAGGAAGGAAGGAAGGAAGGAAGGAAGGAAGGAAGGAAGGAAGGAAGGAAGGAAGGACCCUAUGUCCUCUUGGAAUUUCUAUCAGCUGAACACCAUUGGAAAUAGGAAGAAAGAAUUACUUCAGGAGUCCUUUAAGGAAGAAAAUAAAAAAAAUUGAUGCAUUUCUAGUCCCUUGUCUUCUAGUCCCUUGCCUUGCCUAGAAAACAAGAAAGUAUAGACAAUUACUCUAUAAAGCAUCAGCACAAGGUAUGUGUACCCAAAGACACUUUAGUGUCUUUCUUAACGUUUAAGAGAUGCACCUUUUCCUUAAAUGAAAACUUGUUUACAACUGAAUACACUAAUUUCUAACUGACUAUAAUUUAAAUACCAUAUUCUAUCAGUUUUACAAUGCAUCAAUGUAAAACAGCACUUCUGUACAAAAUGACAUUACUUUUUUGCAGUCUGAAAAUUGAAAAGCUUUUGCUAUAGGAGAAGCCUGCAGCACAUGGAAAGUACAUUUUAUUUAUGUAAUAAAAUAUUUUGCAAUAAUUUUAUUACUAUUUUAUUCCAACUUCCUUAAAUAAAAACCCCUAAUUUUAUCUUA